UACAGAGGUCUCAAGCGUUGUUCGGAUUCAUUGGGCGUAAAGGGUGCGUAGGCGGCGCGGUAAGUCGGGUGUGAAAUCUUGGAGCUUAACUCCGAAACUGCAUUCGAUACUGCCGUGCUUGAGGACUGGAGAGGAGACUGGAAUUUACGGUGUAGCGGUGAAAUGCGUAGAUAUCGUAAGGAAGACCAGUGGCGAAGGCGGGUCUCUGGACAGUUCCUGACGCUGAGGCUCGAAGGCCAGGGGAGCAAACGGG
RNAcentral lists this ribosomal RNA (253 nucleotides) under uncultured bacterium. RNAcentral's name for it is "partial 16S ribosomal RNA". It matches the Rfam family "Bacterial small subunit ribosomal RNA", at positions 524 to 776 of the family's 1533-position model. The record is from RNAcentral.